CGCCGGGCGCCGCGGAGUGGAAGCUGACUCAACCCGCCAGGGUCGGAAGACAGCAACGGUCGUCUGCCUUUCAUGGCCGCGGUGGCUCGGCGUCC
RNAcentral lists this signal recognition particle RNA (95 nucleotides) under Verrucomicrobiia bacterium. Its description in RNAcentral is "signal recognition particle sRNA small type". It matches the Rfam family "Bacterial small signal recognition particle RNA". Rfam says of the family: The signal recognition particle (SRP) is a universally conserved ribonucleoprotein involved in the co-translational targeting of proteins to membranes. Archaeal SRP consists of a 7S RNA and homologues of the eukaryotic SRP19 and SRP54 proteins. The record is from RNAcentral. Lineage: Bacteria; Pseudomonadati; Verrucomicrobiota; Verrucomicrobiia.